CUAAAAUGCACAGGUCGUGAGUUCGAUGAGUAGGGCGGGACACGUGACAUCCUGUCUGAAUAUGGGGGGACCAUCCUCCAAGGCUAAAUACUCCUGACUGACCGAUAGUGAACCAGUACCGUGAGGGAAAGGCGAAAAGAACCCCGGCGAGGGGAGUGAAAUAGAACCUGAAACCGUGUACGUACAAGCAGUGGGAGCACCUUCGUGGUGUGACUGCGUACCUUUUGUAUAAUGGGUCAGCGACUUAUAUUUUGUAGCAAGGUUAACCGUAUAGGGGAGCCGUAGGGAAACCGAGUCUUAACUGGGCGAAUAGU
Molecule: ribosomal RNA, 314 nt
Filed under: Serratia marcescens
Lineage: Bacteria; Pseudomonadati; Pseudomonadota; Gammaproteobacteria; Enterobacterales; Yersiniaceae
Description: partial 23S ribosomal RNA
Rfam family: Bacterial large subunit ribosomal RNA
Source: RNAcentral